RNAcentral lists this ribosomal RNA (958 nucleotides) under uncultured bacterium. Its description in RNAcentral is "bacterial SSU rRNA". It matches the Rfam family "Bacterial small subunit ribosomal RNA", at positions 521 to 1490 of the family's 1533-position model. The record is from RNAcentral.
UAAUACGGAGGGUGCGAGCGUUAAUCGGAAUUACUGGGCGUAAAGCGCAUGCAGGCGGUCUGUUAAGCAAGAUGUGAAAUCCCAGAGCUUAACUCUGGAACUGCCAUUAAAACUUUUCAGCUAGAGUAUGAUAGAGGAAAGCAGAAUUUCUAGUGUAGAGGUGAAAUUCGUAGAUAUUAGAAAGAAUACCAAUUGCGAAGGCAGCUUUCUGGAUCAUUACUGACACUGAGGAACGAAAGCAUGGGUAGCGAAGAGGAUUAGAUACCCUCGUAGUCCAUGCCGUAAACGAUGUGUGUUAGACGUUGGAAAUUUAUUUUCAGUGUCGCAGGGAAACCGAUAAACACACCGCCUGGGGAGUACGACCGCAAGGUUAAAACUCAAAUGAAUUGACGGGGACCCGCACAAGUAGUGGAGCAUGUGGUUUAAUUCGAAGAUACGCGCAGAACCUUACCAACACUUGACAUGUUCGUCGCGACUCUAAGAGAUUAGAGUUUUCGGUUCGGCCGGACGAAACACAGGUGCUGCAUGGCUGUCGUCAGCUCGUGUCGUGAGAUGUUGGGUUAAGUCCCUCAACGAGCGCAACCCUCACUUUUAGUUGCCAUCAUUUAGUUGGGCACUCUGAAAGAACUGCCAGUGAUAAGCUGGAGGAAGGUGGGGAUGACGUCAAGUCCUCAUGGCCCUUACGUGUUGGGCUACACACGUGCUACAAUGGUAUCUACAACAGGAAGCAAGACUGCGAGGUCAAGCAAAUCCUUAAAAGAUACCUCAGUUCGGAUUGCACUCUGCAACUCGAGUGCAUGAAGCUGGAAUUACUAGUAAUCGUGGAUCAGCGUGCCACGGUGAAUGCGUUCCCGGGUCUUGUACACACCGCCCGUCACACCAUGGGAGUUGGUUCUACCUUAAGGCAAGGUUUAAAACCCUUGACCACGGUAUAGUCAGCGACUGGGGUGAAGUCGUA